Molecule: small nuclear RNA, 158 nt
Organism: Otolemur garnettii (small-eared galago)
Lineage: Eukaryota; Metazoa; Chordata; Mammalia; Primates; Galagidae
Gene: U1
Rfam family: U1 spliceosomal RNA
About the family: U1 is a small nuclear RNA (snRNA) component of the spliceosome (involved in pre-mRNA splicing). Its 5' end forms complementary base pairs with the 5' splice junction, thus defining the 5' donor site of an intron.
Source: Ensembl
CUGCUUACCUGGAGGUACCAUGAUCAUGCAGGUGGUUUUCCUAGGGCAAGGCUUAUCCAUUGCACUCUGGUUGUGCUGACCCCUGUGAUCUCCCCAAAUGUGGAAAACUCGGCUACAUAAUUUGCGGUAGUGGGGGACUGUGUUCACGCUUUCCCCUA